GGCUGGUUACCAAGGUUACCGCCGAGAGGCCGCGUCCUCAGCUGGUCCUAGACAUGCGUGGCGUCGGGGCUGUGGCACGGUCGGGUCCGGGGACACUUGUUUAACAAGACAUCUGCCCAUGUCCCUGGCCCAUCUCAUUGGCUGCAGCACAUCACAGUGGACCUUCUGCCUCCUCCCAGAUGCCCAGGGACAGUGAUCUGGAAGGAAGGGGCUUGAGGCUGUUUUCCUAGAACUCGACUUGAAUGCACCAAGGAAAGGCCAUUUGUGGGGACAUAGCAAGAAGGCAGCUGUCUGCAAGCCAGGAGGAGAACCCUCACCAGAAACCUCACAGAAAUCGGCCAACACCCUCAUCUCGGGCUUCCAGCUUCAGAACAACGAGAAAACAAAUUUCUGUUGUGUCCUGGUUCCCAUUUGUAAUUGGCACCCUAAUGAAACCGUUUUCUGUAGCCCUGGAAAUGGCUGAAAAUGAGGGGAGGGAAAUAAAGUGCUAUAAUUCAGAGCAUGGAGCACACCUUCCUGGUUCACCUGAGCUGGAUUCGGAGAGGUAAAAUGGCCAUUACCUCGUCUAAGCUGCCACUUACAGACACAGUACAGGAUGAGGCCCAGACCCACAGAGACAACGAUGAUGGCCACAGCUAAGAUGAUCCAGAAAUUAUUCCUCCACCAGCUCAUUGCAGUGGAAUCCUGAGAAGAAUGGAGAGAGAAGAAUGAGGCUGGAGUGCAAUGACGUGAUCUCAGCUCUCAGCUCACUGCAACCUCCACCUCCCGGGUUCAAGUGAUUCUCCUGCCUCAGCCUCCAGAGUAACGGGGACUACAGGCACCUGCCACCACGCCUGGCUAAUUUUUGUAUUUUUAGUAGAGAUGGGGUUUCGCCACGUUGGCCAGGCUGGUCUGGAACUCCUGACCUCAGGUGAUUCACCUGUCUUGGCCUCCCAAAGUACUGGGAUUACAGACAUGAGCCACCGUGCCCAGCUAAUCUACUGUGUUGUGUAGAGAUGCAGACAUCUGCUUAGGAAUCAGGCACUGGAUCACAGCCAUACCCUACUCAUUAACACCUGGGGGACCUCAGGCAUGUCACUCGACCUUCUGUGAGCCUCAUCUAUAAUAUGGGAAUGAUAUCUCCUACUUCACUGAGGUUUGUGAGGACUGGAGAUCGAACAUGUACCUACUGGGCCCUCUAGAAAUGGUAGACAUCAUCACUGCUCUUUCAGACAUGCAGCAGGAGGGGGAAGGUGCCAUUUAAAGCAAUAAUUGACUGCAGGGUUGUUUUUUUUCUUGAGACGGAGUCUCGCUCUGUAACUCAGGCUGGAGUGCAGUGGCGCGAUCUGGGCUCUCUGCAAACUCUGCUUCCUGGGUUCACAUCAUUCUCCUGCCUCAGCCUCCCGAGUAGCUGGGACUACAGGCGCCCACGACCACGCCCGGCUGAUUUUUUUGUAUUUUUUUAGUAGAGACGGGGUUUCACCGUGUUAGCCAGGAUAGUCUCGAUCUCCUGACCUCGUGAUCUGCCUGCCUCGGCCUCCCAAAGUGCUGGGAUUACAGGCGUGAGCCACUGCACCAGGCCAGUUUUUUUGUUUGUUUGUUUGUUUGUUUGUUUGUUUGUUUUUUGAGACAGAGGCUUGCUCUGUCGCCCAGGCUGGAGUGCAGUGGCGCGAUCUUGGCUCACUGCAACCUCUGCCUCCCAAGCAAUUCUCCUGCCUCAGCCUCCUGAGUAGCUGGGAUUAAAGGUGUGUGCCACCUCGCCUGGCUAAUUUUUAUAUUUUUAGUAGAGACGGGGUUUCAUCAUGUUGGCCAAGCUAGUCUCGAACUCCUGACCUUGUGAUCUACCUGCCUCGGCCUCCCAAAGUGCUAGGAUUAUAGGUGCAAGCCACCAUGCCCAGCCAGUUGUUUUUAAUCACAAGGACAAGUCAGACUUAAUGCAUAGCAGGGGAGAGAAAUUUUGAGAGCUUUUGUUUGAGUUGAGGGUUAGAAAAAUAGCUGGAUGGGUCUCUUUGAGUGAGUUAUGGUCAGAAGGGUGAAGCUGAAGAUACAGGGCAAACUGAGUUGAUCUGCAUGAGAGAGUUAACAGGCAUUUGGGGGCUGGAAGCUGACAGACCAGAGACCGGGAAAGUCUCGGAAAAGGUUAGCAGCAGAGUGAGAGGUCAAGAAGAGAGCACAAGUCAGAUCCUGGUUAGGAAGCUCCCAUAGUGGCAAAUGACCAAGGCGUUUCUAGGACAGUAAUGCCUCAUGUCCAGCCUUAAAUUGCUACCUAGGUUAUGCUGUGGUGUCGCCUUUUGUUACCAUCAAACCUCCAAUAAAACUGCAUAACACGGCCAGGUGCGGUGGCUCACGCCUGUAAUCCCAGCACUUUGGGAGGCUGAGGAGGGCAGAUCACUUCAGGUCAGGAGUUCAAGACCAGCCUGGCCAACAUGGCGAAACCCUGUCUCUACUAAAAAUACAAAAAUUAGCUGGGUGUGGUGGCACAUGCCUGUAGUCCCAGCUACUCAGGAGGCUGAGGCGGGAGAAUUGCUUAAAGCCAGGAAGCAGAGGUGGCAGUAAGCCGAGAUCACGCCACUACAUUCCAGCCUGGACAACAGAGCAAGACUCCAUCUCAAAACAAAAGCAAAGGCUGGGUGCAGUGGCUCACGCCUGUAAUCUCAUAACUUUGGGUGGCUGAGGCAGGCGGAUCACAUGAGGUCAGGAGUUCGAAACCAGCUUGGCCAUCAUGGUGAAACCCCUUCUCUACUAAAAAUACAAAAAAUUAGCUGGGCAUGGUGGUGCACGCCUGUAAUCCCAGCUACUUGAGAGACUGAGGCAAGAGAAUUGCUUGAACCUGGGAGUCAGAGGUUGCGGUGAGCCGAGGUUGUGCCAUUGCACUCCAGCCUGGGCAACAAGAGCGAGAUUCCAUCUGAAAAAAAAAAAAAAACACCGAUCUCAAAGAGGGAGUUGUGAGAACCCCAACUUGAAGCUGGUUGCUCUCAAGUUCCAGAGGCCCGGACUUGCGACUGACGUCUGGGGAGUUGGGGGCAGCAGUCUUGGGAACUGAGCUGUGAGAUCUGAUACUAUCUCUGGGUCUAUAGUGCUGGCAUUGAAUUGGAGAACACCCAGCUGGUGUUCACUGCUUGGUGUGUGGCGGAAAAACCCUCACACAUUUGGUCACAGAAGCCCUUUUCUGUGUUGGUGAUUGUUGUGCUGGUGUGAGAACAGAGGAAAAACACCGCUUGCAGAGUUUUUCCUGAAACAAUACUCUUUAGAGCGAUAGAAAUAAAUACCACGACCUGCGCAUUCAAAGCUGUUGUAUCUGGAUUGUGACUGCGUGGAAGGUCGAGGCGGGAAGACAGGGGCUGUUGCUUUUCGUUAUAAACUCUGCAUUACUUGAUUUUUGCACUACGUACAUUUACUUUGAUAACACUGGAAAGAAUAAAUUGGCCAUGUAGUGUAGCUUCCAAAAAAAACUAUUGCUUGGGUUUCAAGGUCAAGGAAAUUUCAUUCUCAUCAGUUUCUUGGGAAAGAGGAAGUGGAAUGAUGUUGUCAGAAAGUGAAACCAUGGGUCAUUUUCAGAACUACUCAGAGUAAUAAAUAUUUUUUGUCAGUUUUGUUCUUACAAGUGAAAUGGACCGCAGAGAGGCACUUUUUCUUUUCUUUUUUCUUUCUUUCUUUUUUUUUUUUUUGAGAUGAAGUCUCGCUCUUGUACCCCAGGCUGGAGUGCGAUGGCGUGAUCUCGGCUCACUGCACCCUCCACCUCUCCAGUUCAAGCGAUUCUUCUGCCUCAGCCUCUCCAGUAGCUGCGAUUACAGGUGUGUGCCACCAUGCCCGGCUAAUUUUUUUUGUAUUUUUAGUAGAGAUGGGGUUUCACCAUGUUGGCCAGGCUGGUCUCGAACUCCUGACCUCAGGUGAUCCGCCUGCCUCAGCCUCCCAAAGUGCUGGGAUUACAGGCAUGAGCCACCACGCCCGGCCGACACAUUUUUAAUAGAACCAAGGAGAGCUUGCUUUUUGAGAGAGGGCAGCUGAGAGAGGGGGCCUAAGAGAAUCACAUCCUAGUUCCAGUAGGAUGUCCUCUAGGCCACCAGGCUGGUUUAAUGGCCAAGGUGCUUCCAGAGAGAGGAAGCCCUGGGGAAGGAUGAUAGAGAGUACAGAAAACAGGGAGUACACAAUGGCUGCAUGACCGAGUUCAGGCCCUGGGAAGGUAUGAAAGCUGGAUCCUACCUGUGCUGGCAGACCUGGAGUUGUUGCCACAGAGGGCCGAUAAGAUUGUGAGUACAGGACUACUGAGGGCUACUGAAGGAUCGCAAAGAAGUGUUUGCACUGGCCGAGUGCAGUAGCUCAUGCUUGUAAUCCUAGCACUUCAGGAGGCCAAGGCAGGCGGAUCACUUGAGUCCAGGAGUUCAUGAUCAGCUUGGGCAACAUAGCAAGACCCUGUCUCUAUAUACACACACACACAACACACACACACACACACACACACACACACACUCUUACACUUAGCCAGGUGUGGCGGCAUGUGCCUAUAGUCACAGCUACUCAGGAGGUUAAGCUCCUCCUCAGCUACUCAGGGGGUUUCACCAUGUUGGCCAGGGUGGUCUUGAACUCCUAAUCUCAAGUGAUCCGCAUGCCUCGGCCUCCCAAAGUUCUGGGAUUACAGGCGUGAGCCACCCUGCCCACCCAGAAUGAACUUUCAAAAGGGAACAAGGAUUAGAGAAGGGAGUGACACUGAAUAGAACCAGAGAGAAGGGGCUUGGGGGCAGGAAGUUGAGAGCUCACACCUAAGUUUCCAUUUCCUCUGAGGUGGGAGGCAAAGUCAACAGUGUGGGGGUUGAGGUGGGAGGGGUCCGGCUUGAGCAGAGCAGUGCAAUAGCACGCACCAACUCCUCCACCUUCCAGCCCAGUCCCCAUCCCCCAUUCCCAUGGCGCUUUCUUCACAAUUUUAGUUGGUGGAGCCUCUCUCGUGAGGCCAUCCUUUCUCCUUGCCUACCGCAUCCCAAGAAGAACUCAGCUACGUGAAGGGAUGUCACUACCCCCUGCAAUAUGUAUAUGUGAAAUAUGUUGGGCGCGGUGGCUCAUGCCUGUAAUCCCAGCACUUUGGGAGGCCGAGGCAGGCAGAUCAUGAGGUCAGGAGUUCAAGACCAGCCUGGCCAACAUGGUGAAACCCCGUCUCUACUAAAAUACAAAAAUUAGCCAGGCAUGGUGGUGUGCACCUGUAAUCUCAGCUACUUGGGAGGCUGAGGCAGGAGAAUUGCUUGACACUGGGAGGCGGAGGUUGUGGUGAGCCGAGAUCACGCCACUGCACUCCAGCCUGGGCAACAGAGCUAGACUCCUUCUCCAAACAAAAUUUUAAAAAUGAAAAAUAAGUUGGGCAUGGUGGCACGCGCCUGUGGCCCCAGCUACAUGGGAGGUUGAAGUGGGAGGAUUGUUGGAGCCCAGGAAGUUGAGGCUGUAGUGAGCUGCAGUCACGCCACUGCACUGCAGCCUGGGUGACAGAGCCAAAUCUUGUCUCAAAAAAAAAAAAAAUGCAUUGAGCACAGUGGCUCACACCUGUAAUCUCAACAGUUUUGGAGGCUGAGGCAGGAGGAUCACUGAAGGCCAGGAGUUAGCAACCAGCCUGGGCAACACAGCAAGACCUUGUCUCUACAAAAAAAAUUAAAAAUUUGCCAGGCAAGGUGGUGCAUGCCUAUAGUCCCAGCUACUCAAGAAGCUUAGGUGAGAGGAUUGCUUGAGCCCAGGGAUUCGAGGCUACAUUGGGCCAUGAAUGUGCCACUGCACUCCAGCCUGAGUGACAGAGUAAGACCCUGUCUCAAAAAAAAAAGAAAAAACAGUGAAAUGCAUUUUUCUUCCAACUGAGCCUGUGACAGUGACAGUUGUCUCUUGGUGUAUUUGUUCUUUUUAUUUGUUUGUUCCUUGUCUGUCUCCCACACUGAUGGGCAAGCAGCAUAAGAGCAGAGGCUUUGCCUGUAAUUACCACUGUGUUUCUAGCGCCUAGAACAUCACCUGGGGCAGGACAUACCAUACAUAUCUGUGAAUAUACGAAAGAAUGGAUGAUGCCCCAGUCUCUUUCCCCUGCUAUAGAUGGACCUCCCACCCGAGAAUGCAGGCAGAAGUCACUUUGGGUCCAGUAACUGAAAUUACUGUGCUGUGCAGUCUAAUUCCAAAGCCUCAUCUGGACACGCGACCCUGGGCAGGCUCCCCGUCCUGCGCUGGCCAUUGGCUACUGGGGCCAAGAGGCUGGCUGGGAAGCAGUGGCAAUCCAAUGCUGGGGAGGUGGAGUUCCAGCUUCCCCUUUGUUUCUCCCCAUUCCUCUAGUUGUCCAUGACAUUUUCAAGGAACAUGAGUGAGCCUGUUGCAGUUCUGGGUGGUUUCAGUGGAAAGGAUUUGGCAAGACCUUCCACAGUGAAGAGGGCGUGUGAGUGGGAGAGCAACUGAAGGCAGUCAACACAUCAGCUUCACUUUCAUUUCUCCAAAGGGCAUUUCCAGGGUGUCAGGGACAGAAAUCACAUUUUCCUUCACCAGGAAUUUCUGAGACUGUGGGUUUAUUUAGCUUUUUUUUUUUUUUUUUUUUUUUUUUUGAGACAGAGUCUUGCUCUGUUGCCCAGGCUGGAGUGCAGUGGCGCGACCUUGGCUCACUGCAACCUCCAUCUCCCCGGUUCAAGCAAUUCUCCUGUCUUAGCCUCCCAAGUAGCUGGGACUACAGUCGCACGCCACCAUGCCCGGCUAAUUUUUAUAUUUUUAGUAGAGAUGGCGUUUCACACCAUAUUGGUCAGGCUGGUCUUGAACUCCUGACUUCAGGUGAUCCACCCGCCUUGGCCUCCCAAAGUGCUGGGAUUACAGGCAUGAGCCACUGCGUCCGGCGUAUUUAGCAUUUUUAAAAGAAGAUCUUCAGUAAGAAAUAUGGUUUACGUUGUGAUAGUUAUUCACGUAUUCACAUAAAUGAAGCGCUGAAGGGCCCUAGGCUGGCCAUCAAGGGAACAAGUUCCCCUCCCCUCCCCUUCCCCCAUCUCCUUUCUCCCCUCUUCUCCUUUCUCCUCUCUGCUCCUCUCCUCUCCACUCCUCUCCUCUCCGGUCCUCUCCUCUCUCCUUUCUCCUCUCCUCUUCUCUCCUUUCUUCUCUCCUCUCCUUUUUCUCCUCUCCUUUCCCUUCUUUUCCUUUUUGUAGAGACAAAAAAAUGUUGUAGACACACAAAAAAUGUUGCCUAGGCUGGUUUCAAACUCUGGGCCCCAAGUGAUCCUCCGCCCCAGCCUCCCAAAGUACCAGGAUUACAGGCAUGAGCCACUGCACCUGGCCAGAGGGAAUAGGUUUCCUGUUCCCACUUAGC
This 7282-nucleotide long non-coding RNA is filed under the name Homo sapiens (human). RNAcentral describes it as "HSALNT0388189". Lineage: Eukaryota; Metazoa; Chordata; Mammalia; Primates; Hominidae. The record is from RNAcentral.